RNAcentral lists this transfer RNA (71 nucleotides) under Phaethon aethereus. RNAcentral's name for it is "tRNA-Val". The record is from RNAcentral. Lineage: Eukaryota; Metazoa; Chordata; Aves; Phaethontiformes; Phaethontidae.
CGAGACGUAGCUAUAAUAUUAAAGCAUUCAGCUUACACCUGAAAGAUAUCCGCAUCCAACCAGAUCGUCUG